GGGGUACGAGAGGGCCGCUACCACGCGAGUGGAUGCCAAUCCCUAAAACCCCUCUCAGUUCGGACUGGAGUCUGCAACCCGACUCCACGAAGCUGGAUUCGCUAGUAAUCGCGCAUCAGCCACGGCGCGGUGAAUACGUUCCCGGGCCUUGUACACACCGCCCGUCAAGCCAUGGGAGCCGGGGGUACCUGAAGUGCGUAACCGCGAGGAUCGCCCUAGGGUAAAACUGGUGACUGGGGCUAAGUCGUAACAAGGUAUC
Molecule: ribosomal RNA, 259 nt
Filed under: uncultured bacterium
Lineage: Bacteria
Description: partial 16S ribosomal RNA
Rfam family: Bacterial small subunit ribosomal RNA
Source: RNAcentral